GCCCCCUUCGUCUAGUGGUUAGGACGCAAGAUUUUCAUUCUUGAAACAGGAGUUCGAUUCUCCUAGGGGGUGCCA
This 75-nucleotide transfer RNA is filed under the name Hyphomicrobiales bacterium. RNAcentral's name for it is "tRNA-Glu". It matches the Rfam family "tRNA". Rfam says of the family: Transfer RNA (tRNA) molecules are approximately 80 nucleotides in length. Lineage: Bacteria; Pseudomonadati; Pseudomonadota; Alphaproteobacteria; Hyphomicrobiales. RNAcentral also lists the same sequence under 5 other names. The record is from RNAcentral.